Long non-coding RNA from Lemur catta (Ring-tailed lemur), 412 nucleotides. RefSeq lists it as uncharacterized. The record is from RefSeq and is a predicted model, not a curated record. Lineage: Eukaryota; Metazoa; Chordata; Mammalia; Primates; Lemuridae. The transcript is spliced from 3 exons.
AACUAAAACUCAAAGAGUUAAUGUAACCUGUCCAAGGACAUUUAAGGACUGAAGGCAGAAUGAAGACUCUCGGACUGGUUUUCUGACUCUGGACCUGUGCUGUCUUGUGGGCAAGUUGUUGAAAAAGUGGGAGAAGUGCAUCCCCAUGGCUUCAAAUGGCAUCCUGUUACUUCUAUAUCAUAAAGUGGUAUAAAGACUUCUAGCCAGCACCUGAGGCAGGUCUCUCACAGGCAAACCAGAGUGCCUGCAGAGAGCAAAGCCAUGAGGAGGGCAUCCCAAGUUGAAACCUAUAACAUGCAUACUGAAAGUGAAACGAAGAAGAUGGCCAGUGACAUGGCAUGGGGAGGAUCGUGAAGGGGGUUUUCAAAAGCAUGUUCACAGGGGUCAAGGCCUAUUCUGUUUAUUCCCUGCU